RNAcentral lists this ribosomal RNA (903 nucleotides) under uncultured archaeon. RNAcentral's name for it is "bacterial SSU rRNA". It matches the Rfam family "Archaeal small subunit ribosomal RNA", at positions 1 to 899 of the family's 1478-position model. The record is from RNAcentral.
UUCCGGUUGAUCCUGCCGGACCUUACUGCUAUCGGGGUGGGACUAAGACAUGCGAGUCGAGCGUCUCUAGCUAUGUUGAGACGCGGCAGACGGCUCAGUAACACGUGGCUAACCUACCCUCAGGACGAGGACAAACCCGGGAAACUGGGGCUAAUACUCGAUAGGUGAGUAUGUCUGGAAUGAUUUCUCACUCAAAGGGCUUUAGAAACAUGCUUCUAAAGUCGCCUGGGGAUGGGGCCGCGUCCGAUCAGGUUGUUGGUGAGGUAAUGGCUCACCAAGCCUAUAACCGGUACGGGCCGUGAGAGCGGUAGCCCGGAGAUGGGUACUGAGACAAGGACCCAGGCCCUACGGGGCGCAGCAGUCGCGAAAACUCCGCAAUGCACGAAAGUGUGACGGGGCUACCCCGAGUGCCAUCCGCUGAGGAUGGCUUUUCUUUGGUGUAACUAGCCGGGGGAAUAAGGAGAGGGCAAGACUGGUGUCAGCCGCCGCGGUAAUACCAGCUCUCCGAGUGGUAGGGAUGAUUAUUGGGCUUAAAGCGUCCGUAGCCGGCUUAGCAAGUCUCCUGUUAAAUUCAGCGACCUAAUCGUUGAGCCGCGGGAGAUACUACUAGGCUAGGAGGCGGGAGAGGUCGACGGUACUUCUGGGGUAGGGGUGAAAUCCUAUAAUCCCGGGAGGACCACCAGUGGCGAAGGCUGUUGACUAGAACGCGCUCGACGGUGAGGGACGAAAGCUGGGGGAGCGAACCGGAUUAGAUACCCGGGUAGUCCCAGCCGUAAACGAUGCGGGCUAGUGUUGGGGUGGCUACGUGCCACUUCAGUGCCGCAGGGAAGCAUUAAGCCGCCGCUGGGGAGUACGCGCAAGCUGAAACUUAAAGAUGCGGGGAGCACACAGCGUGAAGCUGCG